This 2008-nucleotide long non-coding RNA is filed under the name Lathyrus oleraceus (garden pea). RNAcentral describes it as "Pisum sativum (pea) long non-coding RNA (PSAT_LNC032033)". The record is from RNAcentral. Lineage: Eukaryota; Viridiplantae; Streptophyta; Magnoliopsida; Fabales; Fabaceae.
AUGCAUUGAAAGCAUUAAAGGAAAGAUAAACCUAAACUAUUACAAUUUCAUGGGAAGGGGGUAACAUAUGCCCCACAAUGGGGGGAUGAUACCAAACAAUACAAGGGAUGGAAAUGGGAUCAAUACAAGUUACACACUAAGUACCAUGCCUAAAACAAUCAAGUGGCAUGAUGUCCCUAAAUAAACAAUAUAAUGAAAAUGAUAAGUGUAAGCAAUUGUGAUGAUGGGACCACAAUAUGGAUUAAUCUUGAAGUCGCAUGGUCUAAGUAAACACACAAGGAAAAAUGAAGUUAGUAUGGAGUCAAAGUUGAAUGGAAACAUGCAUCAAAGUUCAACCACAUUCAAUGACGAUUUUCAAUCUAAAGGAGAAUGAAUCAAACAUGGAUAAAUAAUAAGGAUUAAUCACAUGAACAUGGUGAGACAUGAUAUCUAAAUAAGGCAUAGUAUCAAAGCAAAUUAAAAUGGAAUUUUCAAUUUAAUAAGAAAAUCACAAUCUAAUGGACAAUUUGAAUGGAAUUAACCUAAUGAUAAAAAUCAUUAUGCAUAGCAUACAAUCAAUGGAUCCAAAAUAACAAGGUGAUUUAAUCAUGAAUCAUCUAACAAUUCCACAAUUUAAACCUAACCUAAUAUCUAAGCUAAGCACAUUGAUUAACAUGGUGAUUAAAUGGAAAUUAAAAUCAUGGUCAAAAACAAUAUUAAGAACCCUAAUAACAUUAACCAUGGCCAAAUUAAACAAAUUUUAGAUCACAAAAAAAAUUAAAAUAUAGUAAAAAAUAUAUUAGAAAAUAAUAUGGAAAAAUAUGAGAAAAAAGAAUGGCAAAAAAAUGUAAAAAUGAAUAACAAAAAAGGGUUGGAAUUGUAGACACGGGUGUAAUAAGGAGAUCCAGCGCAUGCCUAACAUGAGGCCCACCGCCAAUUAGCCAUUGGAAACCAGGGGAUUCAUGAGUAAAACAAGGUGAUGUUCAACAAAGUGAUGAUAAUCCCAUACCAAGUAGGCCCAAAAUGUGACAAAGCAAUAUCAAACAAUCACUCAACAUUCCAGUUCCAAUGAAAAUGAUAUUCAAAUUAAAAUGAAAAAAUAAUGCGCCAACUGAAAUUGAAACAUUCAAACACUCAUAUCAAGAAACCACCAACAACCACAACACUAGAGGUUGCCUCCGACAACGGUGGUGCACCAAGGAUCAAAUAAAGACCACCAUCUUAUGCACAAUGACUCACUGGUGAAAAAUAUGGGGAUGAUUUCACGAAAAUCUCACUCAAAAGCUCAAAUCGAAGGCAACGACAUCAAGAACCCUAGAAGUUCUAGGUUAGAUUAAAUGAAAACUAUGAGGAAUCAAGGCCUAGGAUGUUAGGGCUUUGAUUCCUCUUGAAAACCCCUACAUCUCGAUAACCAGGAAAUGAAGAAAUAAUGGAGGUUUGGGAUUACCUCGCCGGAAAAGACGCUCAGAAAAAUGUCUCAAGUAAGUUCUUCCUCUUCCUUUCUCCGCUCUGUCUUGCUGCGAAACCUCUUAUUCUACUUCUUCCUUUCUUGAAUUCGUGAGUGAGAAUGAAUGUUGAGAGAGCUGAAUCGAGGAAAAAUGUUGAGCUGGUGAGGAUCUGUGAUGAUGAAUGAGGGAGGUUGAUGAUGAUCGAACUCCGGGAUUGAAGAUUAUGUAAAUGUGUGAACUCUGAGAGUAUUGAAAUUCUGAGAUGAAUAAGUGAUUGGAGAGAUUCAUGAUUUGAGAGAAGUGAUUAUGAUAUGAAAUGAAUAGUUAGUUCAAUGAUUAGGGAAUGAUAGAUUAUAUAGUUGGUUAAGCCUUGGGAUUUGUGAGAAUCAAUUAGGUUCAGUUGAACUGAAAUUGUUGAAUUCGAGGGUGAGUUUGUUAUUUUCUGUUUUGGUGAUUUGCUGAUGUCGAGGCAAAGUUAACUAGAAUGUUAGUUAGGUGAUGUAACAAUGAUAGUUAGUUGAGGUUCAAUUAGUUGGUAAUGUUAGGUUAGCUGAAAUGUUCAAUGUUAGGGUUAAUUCAAU